Molecule: ribosomal RNA, 494 nt
Filed under: uncultured bacterium
Lineage: Bacteria
Description: partial 16S ribosomal RNA
Rfam family: Bacterial small subunit ribosomal RNA
Source: RNAcentral
GACGAACGCUGGCGGCGUGCUUAACACAUGCAAGUCGAACGGUGAAGCGCCUUCCUUUUUGGUCGGUGUGGAUGAGUGGCGAACGGGUGAGUAACACGUUAGUAUCCUUCUCCCUUCUUCUGGAUAACCGCAUGAAAGUGUUGCUACUACGGGAUAUUCUGAGUCUGUCGCAUGAUGGGUCUGGGACAGUUAUUGUUUCGGUGGGGGAUGGGCUCGCGGCCUAUCGGCUUGUUGGUGGGGUGAUGGCCUACUAAGGCGGUGACGGGUAGCCGGCCUGAGAGGGUGGACGGUCACACUGGGACUGAGACACGGCCCAGACUCCGACGGGCGGCAGCAGUGGGUAAUAUUGCACAAUGGGCGGAAGGCUGAUGCAGCGACGCGGCGUGAGGGAUGGAGGCCGUCGGGUUGUGAACCUCUUUCGCCAGUGAAGCAAGCCUGACGCGUUUGUGGGUGGGUUGACGGUAGCUGGAUAAGAAGCGCCGGCUAACUACGUG